AAGGGAGAACUGCGAGGAGC
This 20-nucleotide non-coding RNA is filed under the name Arabidopsis thaliana (thale cress). Lineage: Eukaryota; Viridiplantae; Streptophyta; Magnoliopsida; Brassicales; Brassicaceae. The record is from RNAcentral.